UGUUAGUUUUAACGAGUUUGCAUCCAAGUAUAACCCCAACAAAUUUUUGCAUCACAUGCCGUCUCUCUCCUCUCCCACCAUUUCUCUUUCUGCUUUAUCACUCUCCAAAUCUUUAACGAGUGACCUCUCGUCUCCUAGCUCCUGCUUUCCCCCAUAGAGGCAGGCGGCUCCAUCGCUCCCGUCGGGCUCGCCUGAAAAUCUCAACACAAAUCGAAGUUUGUUUUUCUAAAGAACUGCGGGCGCAAGCGCUCGUGUUCCCUGGCGGUUGCCAGCAUGUUUGUGUUCCCUUCCGGGCUGGGUGCUGCGCAUUCAUCUUCCCGCAGGUGGUGGGGGCACCUCACCCUGCUCGUCUGGCUGUUGAUUCUAAGCUCAACUCACAGAUCUCUCUCUCUCUCUGAUGCUUUGUUGCUUUCUCAUCUUCUUCCUCCUAUUCAUCGACAGUAGCAGUCGCACAUGGAAUGGAAAAAUCACUCAGUUGCUUACUCGUAUCUAGUUCGAGUGGAUGGGUAAAGCAGCAAAGAUAUAUACGUAGGAGAAUUAAAUUAGCAUGUGCUUGCCAAGAUUUCACGCGAAUAGUUUAUUAUACUAGUGAUUUCUAGCUACACAAAAGUUCUCUGUCUGUCAUCUAUAUACCUUGGUUCCUUUGCUCAGUUUACCCCAACUCAUGAUGUCACAUGUUUUUCUUAUUCUUUUGUUUGUUUUUGACUGAUCGUAGAUGCCACAUAGGAUUAAUUAUUCUGGAGAGUGAAAAUAGCUCUAUUGAGAAAUUAUUAUCAGAGAUUGGAGUCGUUAUCAGAUAGUCAAACUUGCAUGUACCAGUUUAUUUCGCCUUGUCAUAUGUAAGUUGAAUUGUAAAGCUGCAUGUUGCAUAAAAAUUCAUCACGCAAAUAUAUACGGAAGUAUUGCUUAAUUUCAUUAGAUUUUUUUAUGUAGUUGGUUCGCCUUUUCCCUGUGGUUCUUUUCUAUUUUAGUUCUUGCAGCCCCAACACCGCUUUAAUAAUUAUAUCGUGUUGUCAUAUCAUAUCAGUACAUUUAUACUGUGCUUGCAUGAUUGUUAUCUAUGUAAGUUCUGUUAUCUAUAAGUUUUUUUUUCUCUGAGUUUGUAGAUGUGCCUUGAAAAUUACAUUAUUAGUGAGAUCUAGCUAUUAGUUAAUUUCAUCUGACUUAUCUUUGUUGAUGUUAUAGUGUUGUUAUUGUUAUUUGUAUUAUUGUCAUGGUGAUUAUAAUUUUCAUUUUUGUAAAAUAUUCCCUGCAUUUGUGCACGAUUAUAGUUUUUUUGUUUGCAGAUGGGUUAGAUUGUUAUUUGUCAAAAAAAUACAACAGAUUUGGACAAAAUGGAUAUUGGUGCUGGCGCCAAAAUGUUAUUAGAUUCUGGGUUAUUAAUCAUCCUGAUUAAGUAAUGGUAGGUGCUGCUAGUAAAAUUUGAUAGAUUUGUAUACCUGAAAUCUGUUCCUUUUUGUCUUGUUGACGUGUCAGAUUGUGAUUUGUCAAAAAAUUCAAUAGAUUUGGGAACAAGAAAUCUGUCGAAUGAUAGGUCGACAUUCCCAUUAGAAAAUUAGAAGAUCAUAGUCUCACAAGACAAAAUUCAUGAAAAGGAAACAUAAUAACAUGGCAAGUUACACUAACAUUGUAACGUCCUUUAUAUUCUAGGAAGGAUGUGUUGCGCUGAUAAUUUUUUGUUAUAGUUCUCGACUUCCUGUAGUUUGUUUCUUUGGUUAAACUUUUGUGCGUUAACAGCCUUGUUGUGUUGGCAGCGCUAGUUUAGUUUCUGGUCGUGACUGUGAUUCGGUGUGGCAAGAUUUUUACUCUCCCGUCCCAUAAAGAAUGCAAUUCUAAGUUUUAAAAAAUCUCACAAAAGUUUAAUCCCAGCAACAAGUACCUGUCUUAUCCUUUUAAAUAUAUUUUUAGGAUUUAAUUAUGUGCAUGUUGUAAUAACUCUACGGAUUUGAACAUCUAGCAUGCCUAAAUUAAUGGGAUUGUCAAUCUGCUAAUAACAAAUCUAUCUGGAGAAAAAAAUUAGAAUUGUAUGUUUUUUAUGUGACGCAGGGGCAUAUGCUCUCUAUUUCUUUAAAGGAGGCGGCUAAAAUACGACCGGCCGUAAAAACAACUAUCCGUACGGCCUAUCUAUUUUUAGUAAAAACCUCGAACCGUCAGCUUUCCCACCCCACAUCUAGGGCCCACCUUCAAUGACCUCCCCCACCGAUCGCCCAGCACACUGCCUACAGAAAAUUGCCUAGACGUUGAUGUUGGCCUCCACCCCGCGCCACCGCCAUAGACCCAAAGAAAAACAUAAAAAAAAGUAGAACUGCUCCUCUGAAGAGGAGAUGACGGUCACAUCAACAGGAUAUUGUGUCAGGCAAAAAAGUGUGCAGAAAAAAGACUCUGGAGAUGGGAUGAUAACCGAAGAACAAACAAAAGAGAUGUGUGCGCAUCUAUACAGGCCAGAUUUUUUUUACAAAACCUGCUACAAAUUUAGGGUUCCCUGGCUAGUAGAAAUAGAUCUAGAACACAUUAUUGCUAUAUCUACGAGAGAUAAACUGCAGUUGCCAUCUUGUGAGCUAUACACAUUGAAGAAUGAUCUGCUUGAUCCUGUACAAAAAAAAUCUUUGCCUUCCAUGUUGCUUGUCUCCCCAUCCCCCCUCCUCCCCUUUUAUCAGGAACUGGAAAAAAAAGUGUAGAUCAGAUGCAGCAAGUCAGUUUUUAUUCAGGCAGUAAUGUUGAGAAAAUUACUUAGACAAAAUGCUCAGUUAUGCUUUCCUGUGAACACAUUAUUGCCAUUGCCCCAAGUUAGUGGUAUUCUGGUAGCAAUGUUUAGAAAUUGCGUAGACAAAGAACUCUACUGUGCCUUUUAUGUGAACACAUUAUUGCCCAAUAAAAAAUGCCAAAGUUCAUUUUUAUUCGGACAGUAAUGUUGAGAAAUUGCUUAGACAAGGUGCUCAAUUAUGCUUUCCUGUGAACGCAAGUAUUGCCCAAGUUAAAUUGUAUUCUGGUAGUAAUGUUUAAAAAUUACUUAGACAAAGUACUCUAAUAUGCCUUUAUGUGCACACAUUAUUGCCCGAUAAAAAAUACCAAGUUGGUUUUAUUCUAGAAGUCAUGUUUACAAAAUAAUCAGGCAAAAAUUGUUUGUUAUGCCUUUAUGUAAACACAUCAUAGGCUCACCACACAAAAAUCUGCUUAAAAAACAAUGUUCCUUAAACUGAAAACAUCAUCACUCUAAUUCACCUGAUUUUGUUUAUGAAGAAAGCACACAUUACUACCUGGCAUAUUUUGAUUAUGAAAAGAUUGUGAGGCUUGCAGGAACAAUGGAUUUGAAUGAGCUGCCCCCUGAAUUUGAUUAUGAUUUCCCAGAUGAAGUUGGUACAAAUCCUUCCUAUUGCACUCAGCCAGCCUUUGGUGUUGCAUGGUCACAAUGCGAUGAGCGGGGCCAGAGCCACCAAAGCCAUAAUGAUGUUGGUGCCACACUGGAUGCUUGUAGUAGCACCCAAAACGCAAAUGCUUAUUCUGUUAACAAUCAAGAACCUAGUGUUGUGGCUGGUGAUGUUGUAGAAGAGGGGCUAGCAGAUAUUGUAGAAGAUGCAAUGCAAGAUAAGGUUUGGUUAACACCUCCAGUACUGUACAUGGGGCAGACCUUUGGCACCAUAUAGGAGGCUCGAGAGUUCUACAUUCCUAUGCAAAAGGGUUGGGUUUUAUAUCCGUACAAGCACUACAUGCUAUUGUUCCUAUUACUAGACCUAAAUAAAAUGAGUUCAGUAUCCUAUUGCAAAUACAUAUUAAAUGAAA
Molecule: long non-coding RNA, 3780 nt
Organism: Panicum virgatum (switchgrass)
Lineage: Eukaryota; Viridiplantae; Streptophyta; Magnoliopsida; Poales; Poaceae
Exons: 2
Source: RefSeq, a predicted model, not a curated record